Molecule: ribosomal RNA, 253 nt
Filed under: uncultured bacterium
Lineage: Bacteria
Description: partial 16S ribosomal RNA
Rfam family: Bacterial small subunit ribosomal RNA
Source: RNAcentral
GACAGAGGUGCCAAGCGUUAGGCGGAAUCACUGGGCUUAAAGCGUGUGUAGGCGGACUUGUAAGUACCUUGUGAAAUCCCACGGCUCAACCGUGGAACUGCUCGGUAUACUGCUUGUCUUGAGCCACUUAGGGGCUGUCGGAACAAACGGUGGAGCGGUGAAAUGCGUAGAUAUCAGGAGGAACACCGGUGGUGUAGACGGCUCACUGGACCGUAACUGACGCUGAGACACGGAAGCGUGGGUAGCAAACAGG